UACCAGCACCCCGAGUGGUCGGGACGAUUAUUUGGCCUAAAGCAUCCGUAGCCGGUCAUGCAAGUCUUCCGUUAAAUCCAGCCGCUCAACGGUUGGGCUGCGGAGGAUACUACGUGGCUAGGAGGCGGGAGAGGCAAGCGGUACUCAGUGGGUAGGGGUAAAAUCCUUUGAUCCAUUGAAGACCACCAGUGGCGAAGGCGGCUUGCCAGAACGCGCUCGACGGUGAGGGAUGAAAGCUGGGGGAGCAAACCGG
RNAcentral lists this ribosomal RNA (253 nucleotides) under uncultured bacterium. Its description in RNAcentral is "partial 16S ribosomal RNA". It matches the Rfam family "Archaeal small subunit ribosomal RNA", at positions 474 to 727 of the family's 1478-position model. The record is from RNAcentral.